CCUCCCCUCAUAGACCGGACAAACGCGGACGGAAUAUGAGACAAUGGUCACCUGAGCACAAAGAGGAACACCUGGUGAGGGGACAAGCAUCACGCCAAGGGUGUGUGCAGACCACUACCAGCAUGAAGCUGCAAAUCAAAGCAUCAGAGGUGUUUCAUCUCUUUGCUGGAGUCUCAGUUUUUCAGAUCCUCGCCCAGCAUCUACGAUCCAUGCGCACAAGGGAGAGACCUUGACGAGGCGCAUGAGAAGAAAACCAGCACAUUGGGGUAUGACUAAAACCUUCAAAGCAUUCUCCGUCAGCCAGAUCUUUUUUGUGAUUCAGCCUAUAAUACAGAUGAGCAGCACAUGGAAAAGGAUAUUCUGCUUUUUUUUUUUCUUCAUCUUCUACAGCAUGUGUUACUGUAUUUGUGUUUCACUGGACCUUGAGCUUCAUGGAGCCCCCGCAAAAUGAAGUGUGAGCUUGCAGCAGCUGCCAUUCGGCAUGUAGGACAGACAUACUGCCUCCUCUGAUGAGGUCGAGAGGAAAGACACAUUUUUUAAAAGGAGAAAGGAAAUAAGAGGAUUAGGGCUGAUAAUGUGUGUGCAACCACCCACUAUGACAAAGUGUGUCCUGUUGUGGAAUACCUGUGGCUCGUGAUGGAGGUUAUUUGCAGUGAAUUCAGACUCACAAAGAAGAAGCUUUUCAGUUAGUUUGUGGAGGUUGUGUUCGCAGCAGACGUGACGUAGCAGAGGGUCACUGGCAUGUGCAUUAUUUUAAUGUCUUUCUUUUUCUGGCGGUAAAAUGGACAUCCUGAAUAAACAAAAAAAAGAAGAAAAACUGAAUAAUAAUAAUAAUAGUAAUAAUAAAAUGCUUUUCCACACCUAAACCUUGGCAGGAGAUACCUGGAUAUAUUUUAAAGAGGGAAUUGGAUAACAGUGUUGAACAGAAACACAUCUUUUUUUUUAGAAAUGUUGUUAUCAAAGACGACUUUGUUCAAGUUGUAAAUCACUGGCUCGUGUUGUUCACCAUGUGCAAAGAAUUUACUUGUAACCAUGUGUUUGGAUCGCUUUCCAACAACAGCAACAGGAAAAGAAUCUGUGAUUCUCAAGGUUAACAUGGUCCAAUUUUUUCUGCAAUUUAAGUAAUUAGCAAACUUAGUGGGACUCAAAUUUAUUUGCUCAAAAGUAUAGCCAAAUGAAUUAGGAACGUGCCAAAAAAAAUAAAAAAAUAAAUUAUUCCCACAUUUGCUCUAUUAUCAAAUGUAGGUAAUAAAAGGUGGGAUUGAUGAAGAUGUUGGCAGAGAAGUGGAUAUUUGCUCUCUAUGCCAUAUUUACAUCUGGUAAAUCCCAGCCUGCAGGGUGAGUGAUUUGGCAUGUUGUGCUAUGCGCAAACAUCGAUAAGACAUAAAUAAAUAAAAUGAGGGAAAGGUGAUUAUGAAUGUCUGUUUGGAUUUUGUAGCCGGACAACUCUGACAAUAGGGUUUUAACAUCUUGAGCAAGCUCCCUCUUGCCAAGUGUCUAUCAGCUUCCUAAGUCGUCUCAGAUGUUUGGGUUUUAUUGGGACUUAAAACAGUUAUUAGUCUGAGCACAAACCCUGCUGGAUUUAUCUUUCGCUUAAUACGGAGCCACACAACAAUGAUCUCUGCUGAGAGUAAUAUCUGCUUUUUCCAUUUACUACUUUAAAUCAAAAACUAUUCCUUUUUAGAUUUAUGACAAGCAGAUGAAGUGGUAGUCAAUAUAAGACAUGAGCUAUCUCUUAAAAAAGAUUAGUAUCCUUGGAAUUUAGUUCUGAUGAAAUAAAAAGUUUACAGAGCCAGACUUAUUCAAAGUGAGCAGCUAAAAUGUUCUUCACAGUGGAUUAAUGGAAAACCUCCAUUAGUCAAUGGACAAUGCAGUCACAGCGGCUCUGUGCACAAGAGGAGAAAGUUUUUGUGUCAGACCAUACUGAAAGGGUUGGAGGAAAGGUGAGGCAUUCAUAUCAUCCACUGCAUGUUUCCUAACUUACAGCAUGUGGGUCAUUUCUACACCGGUAGCAUCACAACUGCUGCCUUUGUUUGAAAUCCUUUCCCCCGCUAUUUUAAAAAACUGCAAAUCCUCUGCUAAUAUCCCAGCAGGUCCUGCACCGGAGAGGCUGAUGGAUAUCCAAUACAUGUUCAUUCACAGUUACUAAAUUAUUGCAUUUAAAGCUGCUACAAUGAGUUUAUCAAGAGGAACUAAAUUGGCAGGACUAAUCGUCACGGAUCGUUUUUUGAGUCUGGUCUGUCUUUUCUGGUUCCAGCUUCUCUCAUGUUACAGCUUUGCUCAGAUUUACAUCAAAUAGAAAGUGAAUAUUAUUACGCCUUGGACUCAAACGAAAUAAAACAUUUGAAAACGUCGUCUUAGAAUUAUAUACAGUCUGUGCCUUAGAUGCGGGGAAAAAAGAUUAAUAGAAGACAUGAUCAUUCGAUGACUCAAAGAGAUAAUUAAAGAAAUUAGUCAUGGAAAUCAUUGUUAGUUCCAAAUGAGUUGAUAAUUUAUGUAGGAAAUGUAAAUUGAGAGCGCAUUUAUUUUAUUUCUUUGGUACUUCUAUGAUUGACAGUAAAUAAGACGUUUGAAUGUAGUUUUCUAAAGUGGAUUUUGUCUUUUACGCUUUUAAACUGCAGGUGAAAAUAACAACAGAAACAGUGGAAUAAUUAAAUAGUACUAUUCAGGUUUGAAAUUGUUCUACAUGUUCUUAAUGAAAAGGACAAAUUAAUAAAACUGAAA
Long non-coding RNA from Solea senegalensis (Senegalese sole), 2724 nucleotides. RefSeq lists it as uncharacterized. The transcript is spliced from 3 exons. Lineage: Eukaryota; Metazoa; Chordata; Actinopteri; Pleuronectiformes; Soleidae. The record is from RefSeq and is a predicted model, not a curated record.